RNAcentral lists this ribosomal RNA (488 nucleotides) under uncultured bacterium. RNAcentral's name for it is "bacterial SSU rRNA". It matches the Rfam family "Bacterial small subunit ribosomal RNA", at positions 422 to 902 of the family's 1533-position model. The record is from RNAcentral.
GUUGUAAAGUACUUUCAGCGGGGAGGAAGGGAGUAAAGUUAAUACCUUUGNUCAUUGACGUUACCCGCAGAAGAAGCNCCGGCUAACUCCGUGCCAGCAGCCGCGGUAAUACGGAGGGUNCAAGCGUUAAUCGGAAUUACUGGGCGUAAAGCGCACGCAGGCGGUUUGUUAAGUCAGAUGUGAAAUCCCCGGGCUCAACCUGGGAACUGCAUCUGAUACUGGCAAGCUUGAGUCUCGUAGAGGGGGGUAGAAUUCCAGGUGUAGCGGUGAAAUGCGUAGAGAUCUGGAGGAAUACCGGUGGCGAAGGCGGCCCCCUGGACGAAGACUGACGCUCAGGUGCGAAAGCGUGGGGAGCAAACAGGAUUAGAUACCCUGGUAGUCCACGCCGUAAACGAUGUCGACUUGGAGGUUGUGCCCUUGAGGCGUGGCUUCCGGAGNUANCGCGUUAAGUCGACCGCCUGGGGAGUACGGCNGCAAGGUUAAAACUC